Amphiprion ocellaris (clown anemonefish) is the source of this 388-nucleotide long non-coding RNA. RefSeq lists it as uncharacterized. The record is from RefSeq and is a predicted model, not a curated record. NCBI's taxonomy places the organism in Eukaryota, Metazoa, Chordata, Actinopteri, Pomacentridae. The transcript is spliced from 2 exons.
GUUUACCAACGCUGCUGCUAACAACGUUAGCCUCCAAAAGUGAAGCUAAACUCUACAGCCUUGGUCUGGAUCAUUGGGAACAUCUGGUCUGAUGGACUGAGAACUACAGAGAACUUGGACAUCCAGCUGUGGUUGUCUGAAGAGUCUUUUCUCCUUCAUAACUGUGAGGAAGAGCAGCACUGAUGUCCUCCUCAUCCUUCCAGUAAUAACAAUAAUGCUGCAGAUUCAGCUCCUCUCUUCAUAAUACAACUUGUCUUGUGACUGUUCAGUAUUUACACUUCACUGUCAGCAACACAUUAUUUAUUUUAUUUCAUGUGUUUACACAUCUUUACAGUUCACAAUUGUUAAAUUAUGUAGUUUUUAAAUGUGCAAUAAAGGAAAUAAUGAA